This 20-nucleotide microRNA is filed under the name Mus musculus (house mouse). Its description in RNAcentral is "mmu-miR-7090-3p". The record is from miRBase by way of RNAcentral. Lineage: Eukaryota; Metazoa; Chordata; Mammalia; Rodentia; Muridae.
UUUGAUGUCUGACUUUGCAG